RNAcentral lists this long non-coding RNA (330 nucleotides) under Gallus gallus (chicken). RNAcentral's name for it is "lncRNA (ENSGALG00010006582.1)". The record is from RNAcentral. Lineage: Eukaryota; Metazoa; Chordata; Aves; Galliformes; Phasianidae.
CAUGGCCUCUGUGGUGAGCAGCACUACCAGCAGAGUCUGGAUCAAGCUUUAUUGUCAGCUCAUCAUUGAACAAGACAUGCUGAUUGUUCCUUGUUCUAGGCUGCAGAUACCAUGGGACUGCAAUAUCAGAAUUCCCAGCUGCCCAGAACAUCUCCCACACUUUGCUGCUGUUAAGCUGAGAAGUGGAUUCUUCACGACUACUUUGCUGUAUCUGAGUCCUGUGCAGCUUUGGCAGUGAGAGGGAGGACAACUCCAGGAACCUCAGGCAAAGCUCUCUGUAUCCUGCAACCAUUAAACCCUGACAUCAGGAUCUCACACCAAUGGCAUCCG